ACUAGAAAUGUACCAACUCAAAGUUAUAUUUUUUACCAAGGUAAACACACAGAACAUAAUAAAAAAAUUUUUUUUUCAGACCCAGGCUUAAGUCCAGGAAAAACUUUAGACCCAGCUUUGGUUGUAGCUAAUGCGAGAACUGGAAAGAGCUAAGACCACAGAAAUCUUCCAAGAAACAGAGAAAGAAGAUGCAAGAAAAAAGCGCAUGAAUCUCUUCAGUUUGGUGCAACUCAUUCCAGAGCAUUCAAUUUUCUCUAUGAAAUCUACAGUGGACUUAUUACUUGGAACAAAUUUUAAGGUAUGUCAAAAUCCUUGUCUCUUACCUCAUAGAAAAUUCAACAUUUUAUAAGAAUAGACAUCAAAGUUAAUGAAGGAAUUAUUAAUGUAUAUAAUCAGUUUGCCUCAUCACAACUUCUAAUACAGAGGUUAUGAAAUAUUUGUCUUUCUUUUAAAAGGUAUUUCAAGGACUGUCAGUGGAUUCACAGUAAAAGAGAAGAUCUGAAUGUCCUCAAACAAAAUAUACAUCUUUGGAUCCAAAUUUUAGAAAACAAACCAGUCUUUAAAUUGUAUGAAAAAGACACAUCUGUUUGCCAAAUCUUUGUAAAAUAUUUUUUCUCUACAAGUAUCUCCUUUACAGCAUUUUACUUAUUUGCUUACAGAUUUAAACAUGUUUUUGAUCCCAACCGUAUAAAAAAAAAAAUGUGCUUCUCACAGUGUAAGAGAUGCUCUAUCAAAUCCCAACAUCAAGUCUCUUUCUUUCAGGGAAAAAAAGAGUUAAGAUAUAUGUAAACCACAUACUCAUAUAGUUACAGUAAAAUAGUCUAGACCCACUUACAGUACUCGGAAUAGUACAGGAUGCAUUUUAAAUUUUCUUUUCUUUUCUUUAAUAAGAUUAUUUGAGUAUAAAUCUGAAUCUCAAGAGAAAAUAGUACAGGAUGCAUUUUAAUUUUUUUUCUUUUCUUUAAUAAGAUUAUUUGAGUAUAAAUCUGAAUCUCAAGGGAGAAGAAGGAAGAAAAGCAAAGUUGAGUAAAAUAUGAAGUGCAGAUAUCCUUUGGAACUGUAUGUGUUCAUUUAGGAAAAAAAGGGCACCUCAGGAUGGCAAACUCAACAUCUGAGAUGAAAAUCUUUCACUGAAUUAUCAUUUUUGUUUACCAAAAGGCUGCAGCAAAUACUGUGUACUAGCUUUUAGGAAAAAUAUGUCUUAAAGAUCAGAUAGUCAAAGACAGGCWUGAAAAUAUCAGGAAGUUCAAGAUUUUGUGAAGCUUUAGAUUUCACCUUCUUUGUCCAGUCUAUUCCAUAAAAUUAAAAAAAUUGGGAUUUUUUGGAAAAUGUAAUUAGAGAUUGUACCACAGUGCACAUUCAUAGGGCUCCCUCCCUCUUCUUACUUGCUUUAAAAACCCYGAGAAGUCUUGCAUUUCAGCUUUAAAACUUACCUAACUGUAGUUUUUUGGGCUAAGUAAUCAGCUGAUGUUCAGGAUUUUCGGCAACUGUUUCUACUGGGGGAAUAAGUGAUGACAGAAAAAAUAAAUCCCAGAACUCCUACUUAUCUACCA
This is a long non-coding RNA of Dromaius novaehollandiae (emu), 1553 nucleotides long. The record is from Ensembl. NCBI's taxonomy places the organism in Eukaryota, Metazoa, Chordata, Aves, Casuariiformes, Dromaiidae.